AGAUGGACCUGCGUUGUAUUAGCUAGUUGGUGAGGUAACGGCUCACCAAGGCGACGAUACAUAGCCGACCUGAGAGGGUGAUCGGCCACACUGGGACUGAGACACGGCCCAGACUCCUACGGGAGGCAGCAGUAGGGAAUCUUCGGCAAUGGGGGCAACCCUGACCGAGCAACGCCGCGUGAGUGAAGAAGGUUUUCGGAUCGUAAAGCUCUGUUGUAAGAGAAGAACGUGUGUGAGAGUGGAAAGUUCACACAGUGACGGUAACUUACCAGAAAGGGACGGCUAACUACGUGCCAGCAGCCGCGGUAAUACGUAGGUCCCGAGCGUUGUCCGGAUUUAUUGGGCGUAAAGCGAGCGCAGGCGGUUUAAUAAGUCUGAAGUUAAAGGCAGUGGCUUAACCAUUGUUCGCUUUGGAAACUGUUAGACUUGAGUGCAGAAGGGGAGAGUGGAAUUCCAUGUGUAGCGGUGAAAUGCGUAGA
Molecule: ribosomal RNA, 479 nt
Filed under: uncultured bacterium
Lineage: Bacteria
Description: bacterial SSU rRNA
Rfam family: Bacterial small subunit ribosomal RNA
Source: RNAcentral